CUGCCAGUAGUCAUAUGCUUGUCUCAAAGAUUAAGCCAUGCAUGUCUCAGUACAAGCCAUAUUAAGGUGAAACCGCGAAAGGCUCAUUAAAUCAGUUAUGGUUCCUUAGAUCGUACCCACAUUUACUUGGAUAACUGUGGUAAUUCUAGAGCUAAUACAUGCAAACAGAGCUCCGACCGGAGACGGAAGGAGUGCUUUUAUUAGAUCAAAACCAAUCGGCGGCAAUUUAGUUUCGGCUUUAUUGUUCGUCGCACUUUUUGGUGACUCUGAAUAACUUUUGGCUGAUCGCACGGUCUCGCACCGGCGACGCAUCUUUCAAAUGUCUGCCUUAUCAACUGUCGAUGGUAGGUUCUGCGCCUACCAUGGUUGUAACGGGUAACGGGGAAUUAGGGUUCGAUUCCGGAGAGGGAGCCUGAGAAACGGCUACCACAUCCAAGGAAGGCAGCAGGCGCGCAAAUUACCCACUCCCGGCACGGGGAGGUAGUGACGAAAAAUAACGAUACGGGACUCAUCCGAGGCCCCGUAAUCGGAAUGAGUACACUUUAAAUCCUUUAACGAGGACCAAUUGGAGGGUAAGUCUGGUGCCAGCAGCCGCGGUAAUUCCAGCUCCAAUAGCGUAUA
Molecule: ribosomal RNA, 621 nt
Filed under: Trechus secalis
Lineage: Eukaryota; Metazoa; Arthropoda; Insecta; Coleoptera; Carabidae
Description: SSU rRNA
Rfam family: Eukaryotic small subunit ribosomal RNA
Source: RNAcentral